UGGAAGUCAGAUGACAGUGCAGGAGGCGCUUCUCUCCUUUCACCGCGUGGCUCCGGUGAUCAAAUUCGGCUCGUCAGUGUUAGCGGGUUCCUUCACCCGCUGAGCCAAAGAACUGGAGGUUAAAUAUAUAGAAUUCCGUUUGGCCAUGGGCUGCGGGUUAUAUCUACCACCCUGCUCCACUUUUUCAGUAAUAACUAUUUGUCGAGAAAGAAGCCCAAAUAAAUCAAGAGUGGUGCAUAUUACAUCCAACCUACGCUAGGAGUUAAUAAAUGGGGACGUUUCGUGGGCUCCAAACCGCCAGAACCAAAGUGAGAGUCAAGAGCCAGCACACACAUUGGAAAGCUGGGACCGGCAAGAAUUGUAUUUUAAUCUCAUGCAAUAUCCAGUCGUCUCUGAUACCAAUUGCCGGCGCUUUAACCACUUGAGACACUGGUCUUGUCUAGCUGGAGAAACAAGUUUGAGUACCUUCGGGCAACAUCUGCACGCUUUUAAAAAUGAACCGAAUUAAAGCUGCAGUUGCCACUAGUCGGCGCUGUUAAUAUGAGAGUCUAACUGAACAGUGGAAGGUAUUUGUCCUCCAGAAAGACAUGCUAGUCACUUGCUAAUCAUACCAAAAGUGUGUAAUUACCCACUGUGCCAACUACUGAAACUCAGAGGAGACUUGGAGACACUAGACUUAGGAAUCUGCCUUUCAAAACAACCUCAAGGGAGUUGGAGAGAUGGCUCAGCAGUUAAAAGCACCGCGGCUCUUCCAGAAGACCCAGACUGGGAUGCUCAGUUGGAAGAGUGUUUGCCUGGUAUGUACAAAGUCCUUGGUUCGAGCCCAAGCACUGCAUGAAUUCAUGAAUGGGACACAUGCUUCCCAGGUGAGUUUCUGGCCAGUCUGGACUCUAUAAGACCCUGUCUUCAAAAAGACCAGCGAUAAAGAAAAGAAAGACCUGAGUGGUUAAGAACACUUGUUGCUCUUGUAGAAUGCCUAGGUUCAAUUCCCAACACCCACAUGGACAGGCGUUAACUCCCCUUAACUGCAAUUCUAAGGGAUCUUGAAAUCCUCCAGGCCUCCACUCCAGAGAGGUGAGUGCUCCUCCCGUCUCCAUGUCCCGUUCCUAUGGCACCAGCACUGUUCCCUUUGGAGGAGCGUGUUAAUGAUACUUUAAUAUAGGUUUUAAGUAUGAAAGUUAAAGGAAGAGAGGCACUAUUGAGAGGACAGCACAGCCAAGAGCCAGGCUGUAGGCUCCUCAGAGAGGAAGCUGCUGCACUCGCCGCUUUCUUUGGGAAUGAUUUGUUUUCUGUUUUGUUUCACCACGAGACCAGAGUAAACCCUAGUGAACAAAGAUGACCUGCCAUUCGGUGCUUUACCACCCUCCCCGUCCCAACACAUACCAAGAUGCUGUCUUGGCAACAGCUUAGCCUGCAAGUGAUGAUUCAAUGUACAUUUUUCACAAACUCAGCUUUAAAAAAAUACAAGUAGAAGGUCCAGAUUCACACACAGAAGUAAAUAAUGUUUAUAAUUCCAAAAUAUUUUGCAAGAAAUUCUAGAAUAAGAAUUUUUUAGGUUAGCUCAGCGAGCCAUGUAAAGCUUGAAUAAAAUUCUGAAAUUACAUCAAUAACUGACAAAAUUCACAAAAAACUAUAUACUUUCAAAAUAUUAAGUGUUCAUAUCAAAUUGCUGUCUUCUCACAAUUACCAAAUGUAUGUUUCUUCUUAAAGGAAAAUCAACUACUCACCCCUUCCCCUGCUCUUAUUCGUCCCUCCCUCUACUAUCUUCCCCCACAUACAUAUGUACAUCCUCAGAGAGCACACACACACACACACACACACACUAUUGUCUAUAUGUCAGAGCCUUUGAAAGUUAGUUCUCUCAGAUAAGAUCUACAUGGAAAAAACACAAGCUAAAACAGUAAUGCAAAUUGUAGCAAUUGCUACAAUGUUUCAGUAAAAUUGUACAAGAGAAGAUGUGUAUGCUAUAUUCGGGUGGACUGCAACUUCAUCGCUGAGUAUUGUUAAAACAGAACAUAGCUAUCGGGGUCGUCUUCUGAACAGUUCCCUUGUGGACCCUGUGGACUUGAUGGUGUUUCUGGAUCUUGAUCUGCUUUGGCUUUUUCCUUCAUUUCUAUAAAAUCAAAACACAAAAUCAUAGAUUCAAUAAACAAUAUUGGCACAGCCUGUUACUCACUUGGAAGAGGGAGACCAUGCCACAGGCCUUGCAUACACAUUUCAGCUAGA
Molecule: long non-coding RNA, 2226 nt
Organism: Arvicola amphibius (Eurasian water vole)
Lineage: Eukaryota; Metazoa; Chordata; Mammalia; Rodentia; Cricetidae
Exons: 3
Source: RefSeq, a predicted model, not a curated record